AACGCGAAGAACCUUACCUGGGUUUGAAAUGUAGUGGUAAGCCUCAGAGAUGAGGUCCCCUCUUCGGAGGCCGCUACAUAGGUGCUGCAUGGCUGUCGUCAGCUCGUGUCGUGAGAUGUUGGGUUAAGUCCCGCAACGAGCGCAACCCUUGUCCAUAGUUACUAACGCGUGAUGGCGAGAACUCUAUGGAGACUGCCGGUGAUAAACCGGAGGAAGGUGGGGAUGACGUCAAGUCCUCAUGGCCUUUAUGUCCAGGGCUACACACGUGCUACAAUGGACGGUACAAAGAGUUGCGAUCCCGUGAGGGGGAGCUAAUCUCAAAAAGCCGUUCUCAGUUCGGAUUGCACUCUGCAACUCGAGUGCAUGAAGCUGGAAUCGCUAGUAAUCGCGGAUCAGCACGCCGCGGUGAAUACGUUCCCGGGCCUUGUACACACCGUAGUAC
RNAcentral lists this ribosomal RNA (442 nucleotides) under uncultured bacterium. RNAcentral's name for it is "bacterial SSU rRNA". It matches the Rfam family "Bacterial small subunit ribosomal RNA", at positions 958 to 1398 of the family's 1533-position model. The record is from RNAcentral.